This 211-nucleotide ribosomal RNA is filed under the name uncultured bacterium. Its description in RNAcentral is "partial 16S ribosomal RNA". It matches the Rfam family "Bacterial small subunit ribosomal RNA", at positions 1290 to 1500 of the family's 1533-position model. The record is from RNAcentral.
AGUUCAGAUUGCAGGCUGAAACUCGCCUGCAUGAAGUCGGAAUUGCUAGUAAUCGCAGAUCAGCAUGCUGCGGUGAAUACGUCCCCGGGCCUUGUACACACCGCCCGUCACACCAUGGGAGUCGGUAACACCCGAAGCCUGUAGUCUAACCGCAAGGAGGACGCAGUCGAAGGUGGGAUUGAUGACUGGGGUGAAGUCGUAACAAGGUAUC